Molecule: ribosomal RNA, 253 nt
Filed under: uncultured bacterium
Lineage: Bacteria
Description: partial 16S ribosomal RNA
Rfam family: Bacterial small subunit ribosomal RNA
Source: RNAcentral
UACAGAGGGUGCGAGCGUUGUCCGGAAUCAUUGGGCGUAAAGAGCGUGUAGGCGGCUUGGCAAGUCUGGUGUGAAAUCUUGCGGCUCAACCGCAAGCGGUCACUGGAAACUGCCUCGCUAGAGUCCGGAAGAGGAGAGCGGAAUUCCUGGUGUAGCGGUGGAAUGCGCAGAUAUCAGGAAGAACACCCGUGGCGAAGGCGGCUCUCUGGGACGGUACUGACGCUGAGACGCGAAAGCGUGGGGAGCGAACAGG